Ailuropoda melanoleuca (giant panda) is the source of this 2482-nucleotide long non-coding RNA. RefSeq lists it as uncharacterized. The transcript is spliced from 3 exons. NCBI's taxonomy places the organism in Eukaryota, Metazoa, Chordata, Mammalia, Carnivora, Ursidae. The record is from RefSeq and is a predicted model, not a curated record.
GUCAGGCUCCUUAGUCAGGCUCCUUUGAGCCCUCUUCUGAACUCAGACCUUGGCCCCUCUCCUGGCCUCAGCUUCCUUAGCCAGUUCUUAGCAAGAAUCCUGUUAGGUCAGGUUAGAAUAGUCCCCUCCUUUUGGUGUUCCUCAUGGCGAUUUUCCGUCCACUGACGCCCCUCACUCUGUUCCUUGGCUAUAAAUCCCUUCUCGUCCUCUUGCACUCAGGGUUGAGCACCAUUUCUCUGCUCUACUCAACAGUCUUCAAUAAAGUCUUCCUUGCCAUUUUACCCAGCACCAGAAUAAUUUUUUUUCUCUAACUCUGGUAAUUGAGAAGCAGUGCUCAACCGGGGACUGAAAUAGGAACUGAAACAUUGGUCUUUGCCUCAUGAGCACUUUGCUUGACCUACGUAGCACGGGAGGUGAUUUUCCAGGGCAUGAGUUUUCCAACUGUGAACUGCAACCCAUGAGUAUAGUGAAACCAGUUACUAAAUCGCAACCAGCAUUUCAAAAAUGAAAUCAAGCAGAGUUGGCAAACCCCACUGAGCACCGCCUGCGGUGGGGGAGGUGCAGACUCGGGAAAACUUUGUUUCAGUUCGUGUGCCUGUGCACUGGGUCAAGGUGUAAAUAUAUUUCUUACUGUGGAAACUGGUAAAAUCUUCCAGCCAUUGGUUCUAGGAAACGGAUUUGAGCCGUUUGCUUUGUUUUUCUAAGAACAGCACUGCCGGUCGGACUGACACUGUCAUCUCUAUCUUCGUGGGGGAUGGAUUUGGAAAGCCAGGAUAUAUACGAAGAACUUCCUUCCCAUGACGGUGAUGAGUAGAUGGCCAGAGAAGGACACCGAGUCAAUAUCAAACAAAUUAAAAGCAACAGCCAAACUGACCCCCCACAUUUCUGUUUGGAGUGAAACUAAGCCUUUGUGAAUAAUCUGUAUUUUAAAUUAUUAGCUCUUGGGAACCUGAGGAAGGAGUAUCUGAUUCAACUUUCUAUUACCUCUUGCCAAAGCUCCCUGGAAGAGGAAAUUCCUUUCCAACAGAGCUCUCCAGGAGAAGCAGAGAAAGAUCUCCGCUCUGAGAUUAGCUAGGAUUGCUGGGGAGGCAUGUGGUGAAGAUCGUAAUAGCAACAGUAAUGACACACUGUGGGUCUGCUCUCAGGCACAGCGCCAAAUGCUUGACCUGGAUUGUUUCAUUUAAUCUACACAGCAACCACGUGAGAUAGGUGUUUCAGUUGUCUCCAUUUUACAGAUGAAGAAACUGAGGUAGAGUGAGGUUAAACCACUUGUCAAAGUCAGCGCCAGCUUUGAAUCCUGGCAGUCUGAGCUGGAGUCUUGGCUCUGUCCAACUUUGUGAUAUUGUCUCCUCCUGGAAGUUCUUGCUGAUCAGCUGCAAACAGCUCAGAGGUUUCUUUAUAAAAAAGAUAUAAAUAAAGGAAAAUGAAGGUAGUCUUUUUUUUUAACCUUCAAAGAAAGCAGAAAAGUUAGAGACAGAAACAGAAGUAAAAAAAAAAAAAGGAUUUAGAUCAAGCAGUAAGUAUUCAAUAACUCAAGUUUAAAAAGGCACUAGGUCAUAUGUGAGUUUUUGUAUUUCUUUAAAUCUUCCUUUGAAAGACUUGCAAUGUCUCUCCUCUAAUAAUUAGACUUUAAGCAUUUACGACAUUUACGCUAAUAUUUAUAAUUCUUAUAGUGGUUACAUGGUAUCUGGUCUCACUUGCCCUCUCUUUUGUCAGAAUAUCUUGCAAGACCAACCUACACAACCUCACACCUGCCCACAUUUCUCCUAAUGACAAGGACGGGGCUAGGGUUGGAACUCACAGAAAGCCAUCAGAUGAAGGCCAACAUCACCGCCUUGGUGAUUGCCUUCGGUCUGGCCUCUCUCUUGGGCCAUUCUCUUCCUAAUUGUUUUUACUAUAUCUUUAAUGGGCAACAACUUCAUUCAAUUCUCCUAUGUUUGGUGGUCCCAGAUACUAAUGUGACUGCUCUUCAGAUAGCCCCUGUUGGGUUCAGGGGCAAAGAAGAAGGGAAAUGACCUUCUCCAUGACAAGAGUGUUUCAGGGAACGCUGGCGGGAAAUCCUUUAGUCAAAUUGUGGUUCGCCAAAAUGAAGGGGCACUUUUUCUAUCAGCCGCUUUGUUUCGGCAGCCAGGAUAGGACAACUCUGUCCUGUUGUUUAUUAGUCACACGUCCUAUAUAACAAGACAUGACACAGGUUUGGGUGUUUUUUCUUCUUCUUUUUUUUAAUGAUGAAGGAGAAGAGUAAAAGAAAAGGUAAUUAAAGGGGCAGGACUAGAGCCUUCAAGCAGAAUUUCCCACCCCUAAUGUAAAGGAAGUUUUUCUAGACCUGAACUUUUAAACAAGAGAAUGAUGCUGUCGUCCCUCAGUAUCAGAAACAAUAUUAUUCAAACUGAAGACUUCAGAGGGGAGGGGUGGGGGAAUGGGAUAGACUGGUGAUGGGUAGUAAGGAGGGCACGUAUUGCAUGGUGCACUGGGUGUUAUA